This 406-nucleotide ribosomal RNA is filed under the name uncultured bacterium. Its description in RNAcentral is "partial 16S ribosomal RNA". It matches the Rfam family "Bacterial small subunit ribosomal RNA", at positions 30 to 526 of the family's 1533-position model. The record is from RNAcentral.
AUUGAACGCUGGCGGCAGGCCUAACACAUGCAAGUCGAACGAGUGGCGGACGGGUGAGUAAUGUCUGGGAAACUGCCCGAUGGAGGGGGAUAACUACUGGAAACGGUAGAUAAUACCGCAUACAAUCGGAUGUGCCCAGAUGGGAUGAGCUUGUAGGUGAGGUAACGGCUCACCUAGGCGACGAUCCCUAGCUGGUCUGAGAUGAUGACCAGCAACACUGGAACUGAGUCACGGUCCAGACUCCUACGGGAGGCAGCUUUUGGGAAUAUGGCACAAUUGGCGCAAGCCUGAUGCAGCCAUGCCGCGUGUAUGAAGAAGGCCUUAUGGUUGUAAAGUACUUGCAGCGGGGAGGCGUUACCCGCAGAAGAAGCACCGGCUAACUCCGUGCCAGCAGCCGCGGUAAUAC